RNAcentral lists this ribosomal RNA (305 nucleotides) under uncultured bacterium. RNAcentral describes it as "bacterial SSU rRNA". It matches the Rfam family "Bacterial small subunit ribosomal RNA", at positions 335 to 658 of the family's 1533-position model. The record is from RNAcentral.
GGCCUACGGGGGGCAGCAGUGGGGAAUAUUGCACAAUGGGCGAAAGCCUGAUGCAGCAACGCCGCGUGAGCGAUGAAGGCCUUCGGGUCGUAAAGCUCUGUCCUCAAGGAAGAUAAUGACGGUACUUGAGGAGGAAGCCCCGGCUAACUACGUGCCAGCAGCCGCGGUAAUACGUAGGGGGCUAGCGUUAUCCGGAAUUACUGGAUGUAAAGGGGGCGCAGACGGCGAUGCAAGCCAGGAGUGAAAGCCCGGGGCCCAACCCCGGGACUGCUCUUGGAACUGCGUGGCUAGAGUGCAGGAGGGGG